CCAGCUGUCGGCCAGUGGCCAGGCCGCCUCAUUUGGGUUGAGGAGAUCGGGGGUUCGAGUCCCUCCAGCUGGACCA
Molecule: transfer RNA, 76 nt
Filed under: Kribbella solani
Lineage: Bacteria; Bacillati; Actinomycetota; Actinomycetes; Propionibacteriales; Kribbellaceae
Also listed under: 1 other name
Description: tRNA-Pro
Rfam family: tRNA
About the family: Transfer RNA (tRNA) molecules are approximately 80 nucleotides in length. Their secondary structure includes four short double-helical elements and three loops (D, anti-codon, and T loops).
Source: RNAcentral